Long non-coding RNA from Arabidopsis lyrata subsp. lyrata, 260 nucleotides. RefSeq lists it as uncharacterized. The transcript has 3 exons. The record is from RefSeq and is a predicted model, not a curated record. NCBI's taxonomy places the organism in Eukaryota, Viridiplantae, Streptophyta, Magnoliopsida, Brassicales, Brassicaceae.
AAAGUCUCUGUCGUCCUUUGUAGUGCACAAUGUGGUCUUUGACAUAUGGAUCAAGAUGGAUGUUUUGCGUUGUUGGAUUUAAUAUGUAAAAGUAGCUCUCACAAAGAGGAAUUUUGUAUCAACUCUAUUGGGAUGGUUAAAGGAUCUCAUCAAUCUCCUCUUUCAAAACGAAUCAGACGUCGCAAGGUUUUACCUCCUUCUUAGUCCUAACUCUUCAAUUCUAGUAUUAUAUCCUAUCUUAUCUGCUAAUGGUUCGUGUU